This 253-nucleotide ribosomal RNA is filed under the name uncultured bacterium. Its description in RNAcentral is "partial 16S ribosomal RNA". It matches the Rfam family "Bacterial small subunit ribosomal RNA", at positions 524 to 776 of the family's 1533-position model. The record is from RNAcentral.
GACGUAGGGCGCGAGCGUUGUCCGGAUUUAUUGGGCGUAAAGAGCUCGUAGGCGGCUCAUCGCGUCAACCGUGAAAACCAGCAGCUCAACUGUUGGCUUGCGGUUGAUACGGGUGGGCUGGAGUUCGGUAGGGGAGACUGGAAUUCCUGGUGUAGCGGUGAAAUGCGCAGAUAUCAGGAGGAACACCGAUGGCGAAGGCAGGUCUCUGGGCAUUAACUGACGCUGAGGAGCGAAAGCAUGGGGAGCGAACAGG